ACUCCUACGGGAGGCAGCAGUGGGGAAUCUUGCGCAAUGGGCGAAAGCCUGACGCAGCCAUGCCGCGUGAAUGAUGAAGGUUUUAGGAUUGUAAAAUUCUUUCACCGGGGACGAUAAUGACGGUACCCGGAGAAGAAGCCCCGGCUAACUUCGUGCCAGCAGCCGCGGUAAUACGAAGGGGGCUAGCGCUGCUCGGAAUUACUGGGCGUAAAGGGCGCGUAGGCGGACAUUUAAGUCAGGGGUGAAAUCCCAGAGCUCAACUCUGGAACUGCCUUUGAUACUGGGUGUCUUGAGUGUGAGAGAGGUAUGUGGAACUCCGAGUGUAGAGGUGAAAUUCGUAGAUAUUCGGAAGAACACCAGUGGCGAAGGCGACAUACUGGCUCAUUACUGACGCUGAGGCGCGAAAGCGUGGGGAGCAAACAGGAUUAGAUACCCUGGUAG
Molecule: ribosomal RNA, 441 nt
Filed under: uncultured bacterium
Lineage: Bacteria
Description: bacterial SSU rRNA
Rfam family: Bacterial small subunit ribosomal RNA
Source: RNAcentral